This 497-nucleotide ribosomal RNA is filed under the name uncultured bacterium. RNAcentral describes it as "partial 16S ribosomal RNA". It matches the Rfam family "Bacterial small subunit ribosomal RNA", at positions 28 to 507 of the family's 1533-position model. The record is from RNAcentral.
GAUGAACGCUGGCGGCGUGCCUAAUACAUGCAAGUCGAGCUAACAGAUGAGGAGCUUGCUCCUCUGACGUUAGCGGCGGACGGGGGAGUAACACGUGGAUAACCUAGCUAUAAGACUGGGAUCACUGCGGGAAACCGGAGCUAAUACCGGAUAAUAUAUUGAACCGCAUGGUUGAAUAGUGAAAGACGGUUUUGCUGUCACUUAUAGAUGGAUCCGCGCCGCAUUACCUAGUUGGUAAGGUAACGGCUUACCACGUCAACGAUGCGCAGACGACCUAGGAUUGACUUCGGCCACCCUCGAACUGAGACACGGCCCAUACUCCUACGGGAGGCAGCCGUAGGGAAUCUUCCGCAAUGCAGCAAACCCUGACGGAGAGACCUCUCGCGUUGUAUGAAGUUCUUCUGAUCGUAAAACUCUGUUACUAGGGUACAGCAACUGUGUACGUAACUAUGACCGUCUUGACGUUACCUAAUCAGAAAGCCACGGCUAACUUCAUG